GGAGAUAGCCUAGUGGUUGGGCUAGUUGGUGGAGACCAGUAGGUCUUGGGUUCGAUUCCCAGACCAUCCU
This 70-nucleotide transfer RNA is filed under the name Hordeum vulgare. RNAcentral's name for it is "tRNA-Ser". Lineage: Eukaryota; Viridiplantae; Streptophyta; Magnoliopsida; Poales; Poaceae. The record is from RNAcentral.